Non-coding RNA from Gossypium raimondii (Peruvian cotton), 106 nucleotides. The record is from Rfam. NCBI's taxonomy places the organism in Eukaryota, Viridiplantae, Streptophyta, Magnoliopsida, Malvales, Malvaceae.
AUCCUGUGAUGAAGGUAUCUUCGUAUUAACUCCUUGAAUCUUUCCCAUACCUCGUAUAAGGACUCAUCAUCCAAUUGUUGAAAAGUGGUGAUCUCAUUCUACAACU